CAGAGAAUUAAGGCGUGAAAAAGAUUGAAUCCAGUGCUUAAAGUUAGAGAAAAAUUUGGGUUUGGAGUUGGAAUUGCACCGAAACUAACUAAAUUGUUUUGUAUAUAUGAUGAUAUCAGACUACAAAACAGGGGAACUGAUUCCCUAGAAAACCCCAAAACCCUGGGUUUCCACUUUAUCAGUUAGUUUACAGGGUCAAAACAUGGAAAUUAGAGAAGCCAUGUGCAGACCUCUGACCUCGCCACAUGGCAC
This 252-nucleotide long non-coding RNA is filed under the name Panax ginseng (ginseng). RNAcentral's name for it is "long non-coding RNA (PGIN_LNC011169)". Lineage: Eukaryota; Viridiplantae; Streptophyta; Magnoliopsida; Apiales; Araliaceae. The record is from RNAcentral.